Gymnothorax javanicus (giant moray) is the source of this 84-nucleotide non-coding RNA. NCBI's taxonomy places the organism in Eukaryota, Metazoa, Chordata, Actinopteri, Anguilliformes, Muraenidae. The record is from the annotation of a GenBank genome assembly.
UGCCCGAUAGCGCACUCGGUAAAGCAUCGCAUUGUGAAACAGAAGUGACUGUCACGUCGCGGGUUCGAAUCCCGCCUUGUACCA